AGCAUGCUCGGAAUAAGUUCCAGUCGUGGCAUUCGGAAGUCGAACGGGAGGAAUAUCUGACAAUUAUCGCCUGACCUGACGAUCUGCGGAAGCGAGAUCUCCAAUUCUCGUCUCCUUUACGCAGGUAUGCAUCCCUGCAUACAGCGGGCUCAAGGAGAACCAACUUAGCCACCAAAAGGAACCAAAAGAAAAGCUAGGCCACUCUGGCCAGACCAGCUGCGUCCGUUUCCGUUUCUCACCCACAGAAUACACUGGUCCACAUAAAACAAUUUUUUUGUUUCUUUUUGUAGCGCACUUUGAGAAGCUGGGAUGCAUCUGUUAUUUGUUGGACCGAGAUCAAAUCCUUCAACCUAGGACUCAAAAGGAGCCCAGACCUGGUCAACACAUUCACUAUUAAUGUGCCGACACUAAAGGUGAUUGAUCUGUGGGACUUCGAUGCUAUUGACCCUUUUUUGGCAUUCGAAUUCGAUAGUUAACUAGUUACAUCCCAUGACAUAAUCAGCAGGCG
RNAcentral lists this small RNA (508 nucleotides) under Histoplasma capsulatum. Its description in RNAcentral is "hypothetical RNA". The record is from RNAcentral. RNAcentral also lists the same sequence under 1 other name. Lineage: Eukaryota; Fungi; Ascomycota; Eurotiomycetes; Onygenales; Ajellomycetaceae.